ACAUGCAAGUCGGGCGGUAAGGCCCUUUCGGGGGUACACGAGCGGCGAACGGGUGAGUAACACGUGGGUGACCUGCCCUUAGCUCUGGGAUAAGCCUGGGAAACUGGGUCUAAUACUGGAUAUGACUCCGUGCCGCAUGGUGUGGGGUGGAAAGCCUUGUGCGGCUAGGGAUGGGCCCGCGGCCUAUCAGCUUGUUGGUGGGGUGAUGGCCUACCAAGGCGACGACGGGUAGCCGGCCUGAGAGGGCGAUCGGCCACACUGGGACUGAGACACGGCCCAGACUCCUACGGGAGGCAGCAGUGGGGAAUUUUGCGCAAUGGGCGGAAGCCUGACGCAGCGACGCCGCGUGAGGGAUGACGGCCUUCGGGUUGUAAACCUCUUUCAGCCCUGACGAAGCCCUGUGGGGUGACGGUAGGGGUAGAAGAAGCACCGGCCAACUACGUGCCGGCAGCCGCGGUAAUACGUAGGGUGCAAGCGUUGUCCGGAAUUAUUGGGCGUAAAGAGCUUGUAGGCGGUCUGUCGCGUCGGCUGUGAAAUCCCGGGGCUCAACUCCGGGCUUGCAGUCGAUACGGGCAGGCUGGAGUUCGGCAGGGGAGACUGGAAUUCCUGGUGUACU
Molecule: ribosomal RNA, 616 nt
Filed under: uncultured Pseudonocardia sp.
Lineage: Bacteria; Bacillati; Actinomycetota; Actinomycetes; Pseudonocardiales; Pseudonocardiaceae
Description: bacterial SSU rRNA
Rfam family: Bacterial small subunit ribosomal RNA
Source: RNAcentral